AUUGAACGCUGGCGGCAGGCCUAACACAUGCAAGUCGAGCGGAUGAAGGGAGCUUGCUCCUGGAUUCAGCGGCGGACGGGUGAGUAAUGCCUAGGAAUCUGCCUGGUAGUGGGGGAUAACGUCCGGAAACGGGCGCUAAUACCGCAUACGUCCUGAGGGAGAAAGUGGGGGAUCUUCGGACCUCACGCUAUCAGAUGAGCCUAGGUCGGAUUAGCUAGUUGGUGGGGUAAAGGCCUACCAAGACGACGAUCCGUAACUGGUCUGAGAGGAUGAUCAGUCACACUGGAACUGAGACACGGUCCAGACUCCUACGGGAGGCAGCAGUGGGGAAUAUUGGACAAAGGGCGAAAGCCUGAUCCAGCCAUGCCGCGUGUGUGAAGAAGGUCUUCGGAUUGUAAAGCACUUUAAGUUGGGAGGAAGGGCAGUAAGUUAAUACCUUGCUGUUUUGACGUUACCAACAGAAUAAGCACCGGCUAACUUCGUG
Molecule: ribosomal RNA, 484 nt
Filed under: uncultured bacterium
Lineage: Bacteria
Description: partial 16S ribosomal RNA
Rfam family: Bacterial small subunit ribosomal RNA
Source: RNAcentral